This 525-nucleotide ribosomal RNA is filed under the name uncultured Gammaproteobacteria bacterium. RNAcentral's name for it is "bacterial SSU rRNA". It matches the Rfam family "Bacterial small subunit ribosomal RNA", at positions 97 to 619 of the family's 1533-position model. Lineage: Bacteria; Pseudomonadati; Pseudomonadota; Gammaproteobacteria. The record is from RNAcentral.
GGCGGACGGGUGCGUAACGCGUAGGAAUCUACCUCGUAGUGGGGGACAACCCGGCGAAAGCCGGGCUAAUACCGCAUACGAUCCAAGGAUGAAGGCCGGGGACCGCAAGGCCUGGCGCUAUGAGAUGAGCCUGCGUCGGAUUAGCUAGUUGGUGAGGUAAUGGCUCACCAAGGCAACGAUCCGUAGCUGGUCUGAGAGGACGACCAGCCACACUGGGACUGAGACACGGCCCAGACUCCUACGGGAGGCAGCAGUGGGGAAUAUUGGACAAUGGGGGCAACCCUGAUCCAGCAAUGCCGCGUGUGUGAAGAAGGCCUUCGGGUUGUAAAGCACUUUCGAUGGGGACAAACAAGUUCGACCUAAUACGUCGGACCCUGAUGGUACCCAGAGAAGAAGCACCGGCUAACUCUGUGCCAGCAGCCGCGGUAAUACAGAGGGUGCAAGCGUUAAUCGGAAUUACUGGGCGUAAAGGGUGCGUAGGUGGUUUGCUAAGUCAGGUGUGAAAGCCCGGGGCUCAACCUCGGA